UGUGUGACUGGUUUUCCGCCCUUUUUAUUUAUUUAACAAUGCAUGCUUAUAUGAUGCUCUUUUGUUUAUAGUUCUUUAAGCAACUUAAUUAAUGAUAAUUGGUUCAUAAAAAUUAUUUUAGAUAUUAUGUUGUCAUGUAUUCUAAUGCUUUGAAUAAACGUGCAGUAAUAUCUUGAGGCCUCAGAAGAUAAUCAUCCUAACUGAAAUUAUGCAAUUUAAAUCAAUUUUGAAAACAAUUCGAAUUUUGAUCAUAUUUAAGUAAAAAAUUUGAAUUUAGUUUUUCAGCUAUUUUGACAGCCCUAGGCAAUUCUAGUCCGAAUCUGUAGGCCUAUCUGUAUGCAUGAAACUGUCUGAAUACUGGCAGAAUUAACAUUUCUGUUGUAAACAGAGAAACAAUGUGCAGAAGUAUUAUUUGUUGUUAUGCGUGUGUGUCCGAAGAUGCAGUUGCUGCAUCUCCAAGAGAAGGUCGUUAAAGUCAAUUUCCUAUUUUCGUUUUCCAAACUUGGUUGGUCCAAUUGAUUCGUGCAAUAGAUUUUCUAACAUAAAAUGACAGUCGACAUGGACACAGUUUUAGACUAGACGGGAGAAGGGAUGGGAAAAGAUCUGUGCACAGUUUUUCCAGAACUUCGUGCCAAGUUAAAGUGGUGUCAAGCUGUUUUAAUGCAUUUUUUAGAUGUAUUAUGUUGCCCGAACCCGUAUGACUUUGAACAGUGACCAUGAACAUUUUGUUCAGCCAUCAUUACCAAGCACGAACCGUUGACUCUGACAAUGAAUGAGAGUAUUAAAUGAAGCGAACGCACAGGCCAUAGUGUGACAUCCGUGUAAACAUAGAUGACAUCACAGGUUUUUUUUAAAGAAAGAACGUAGUCUUUGUUUGUAUGUAGGCCUAGGCAAUUUAUAUAUUUACAAUACUUAAAUAUAAUUAAUAUUAUUUUAUUGCUUUUGUAUUAGUUGUUUGAAGAGUAAAAAAAAAUUGGAUGGUCUUGACGCAAAUUUACAAUCGGCAAGUCGGUUGGACUACGAAAAAAUUUAGUCUGUCCUAAACUGACACGGUCGGUCGGGUUACGGCAAACAAGAAUAUUUUUAAGGAUGGCCUGACGAAUGUCUGAAGCCCUGUACCAUCCCGCCAAUAUCAUCGGCCAAAUAGUGCUUGGCACUGCCCUAUUCAUGUGUAUGCAUAGUAGUGCCGCUGUUUCACUUGGAUUUAAUUUCCUGUAAAGCAAAUUUUCUUUGCAUUAAAGAGCACCUAUCACGGAAUUUUGAAAUUUACCUUUUAUGUAGUGUGUAACAUAGAUCUAAGUGAACAAAAACAUCCUGCAAAGUUAUAUAUAAAGUUAUUGUCUUUCAAAAGUAAGAGUCGACUCUGAGUCAUUUUUAUGAAUCGUUAGAAGACCGAAGCUUUUUCUCUGACUAGAUGACGUCAACUUGUCAAGUUAUUUGAAUACGAUAUGCCCACUUAUUGCGCUCCAAGACGCCAGUGAAAACUAGAAAACAACAUGGCGACGAGACGCUGUGUUCUGAAGUGGGACUCAAAAGCAAACUUUUUUUAUCUGCCCAAGGAUGAGCAUUUGAAGACUAAGUGGCUACCCAGACAGCAAGCAGUUUUGGCCCAUAUCCGGCCCACAUCUAGCCCGCAUGGAUUUCACAUGGGCCAGAUGUGUGCCGAAUCUGGGCCAACACUAUGUUGCUGUCUGGGUACAAUUCAUAUAUACAACUGUACCACAGAAGUAUAGUCCGAGCCUUGUGCUUUGUUCACGCCAUUUUGAAAAUGAUUGCUUUACCAACUUGCAAUCAAACUUGGAUUCGCGAGCCGGCUGAUAUUGAAGGAAGGUUCAGUUUCCAAGUGUAUUUGCAUCAGCUUCCCCCUCCGUAUAACAACCUGUAAGUGUUAUUAAUAAUUGUUGCUUUUAUGUUUUAUGUAGCAUGCUUAAUGAUUGUUUGGUUUGUUGUGAAAGCACCGUUUAGCUUCUACAAUUGUAUUGAGAUAUGUAAAUUGUUUGUUGUUGUUUUUGGAGUUUUCUUUAAGAAUAGAGUCAUACCUCGUAGUAACGUAACGUUACUGCUUUUUUUUUUUUUUUUGGUAAAAACGUUAUGUUUAUGCUUCGAGUCAAUGCGAACAAAUACUGAUUGUGCUUUUACAAUAUGAACAUCACGUAAAGGCGGGUUUUGAAAAGUGAAUCACUAAACGAAUCAUUUGAGAAUCGCUGUCAAAACAGGUAAAAAUAAAUGCAUAUUAUAAGAAAACGAAAGUCUUUUUUGUCAUUGCAUGCAUGCAAAACUGUUGUUGGGGACUUCUAAAACAAUAUUUGGAACAUUUUAAAUGCCAUAUUAGGUGCUCUUUAAGAAAAGCAUCUCACGUUCUCUGACUUUCUUCAUCGAGCAGUGUUCAACUCCUCUUUGCGGACGCAAUGAGUUUUCGGGAAGUGCAAGGAGCCAUGUGGCAGGUUUAUCAUGGGGGGGGGGGCGCAAGCAAGGUGCAUAGUGUGUUUGGGCCUGCAUCAUUUACAUUGGCAUCGCUUAGUGGCAUUUCUUCUUGUCAUUACUGUGAUAGUCUGCGUCUUAAAGUGUUGUGUAUUUUCUAAGGUUGCUCCAGCAUCCAACCACC
Molecule: long non-coding RNA, 2605 nt
Organism: Carassius gibelio (silver crucian carp)
Lineage: Eukaryota; Metazoa; Chordata; Actinopteri; Cypriniformes; Cyprinidae
Exons: 3
Source: RefSeq, a predicted model, not a curated record